Molecule: ribosomal RNA, 496 nt
Filed under: uncultured bacterium
Lineage: Bacteria
Description: partial 16S ribosomal RNA
Rfam family: Bacterial small subunit ribosomal RNA
Source: RNAcentral
GAUGAACGCUGGCGGCGUGCCUAAUACAUGCAAGUCGAGCGAACAGAUGAGGAUCUUGCUCCGCUGACGUGAGCGGCGGACGGGUGAUUAACACGUGUAUAACCUACCUAUAAGACUGAGAUAACGUCGGGAAAGCGGAGCUAAUACCGGAUAAGAUAUUGAACCGCAGGGUUCAAUAGUGAAAGACGGUUUUGCUGUCACUAAUAGAUGGAUCCGCGCCGCUUGAGUGAGUUGGUAAGGUAACGGCUUACCAAGGCAACGAUGCGUAGCGGACCUGAGAGGGUGAUCGGCAACACUGAAACUGAGACACGGUCAAGACUCCAACGGGAGGAAGAAGUAGGAAAUCUGGAGCAAUGGGCGAAAGCCUGACGGAGCAACGCCGCGUGAGUGAUGAAGGUCUCCGGAUCGUAAAACUCUGUUAUUAGGGAAGAACAAAUGUGUAAGUAACUAUGCAGGUCUGGCGGGUACAUAAGAAGAAAGCCACGGCUAACUCCGU